UUUGCACGCCGUGCGUAACGUGCAUUCUGGCGGUGCCGGGAGCGGGGCGAGGAGGAGGGUGGGUAUGAGGCGGUAGCGGACCGCGGAGUCGAGACCUACCCGAACGACGCGGGCGAGCGGGGCUUUGGACGCCGGUGGAGACGCAGGCGAGGGCUGCUGUAAAAUAUUACAGGCAUACUUUGGAGAUGUUAUGGGUUUGGUUCCACAUCACUGCAAUAAAAUGGAGCCUCGCUCUGUCGCCAAGACUGGAGUUCAGCGGCACGAUCUCGGCUCACUGCAAGCUCCACCUCCGAGGUUCACGCCAUUCUCCUGCCUCAGCCUCCCAAGUAGCUGGGACUACAGACUCCAGCGGGAGGAAGAAGAGGCCUUUGCCAGCAGUCAGAGCAGCCAAGGGGCCCAAUCCCUCACAUUCUCCAAGUUUGAAGGAAAGAAAACCAACAAGAAGACCCGCAAGGUUACCACAGUGAAGAAAUCUUCAGUACGUCUUCCAGGGUCGGAUCAAAGAAGGGCUGGAGUGCAAUGGCGCGAUCUCGGCUCACUGCAACCUCCACCUAUUGGGUUCAAGUGAUUCUCCUGCCUCAGCCUCCCAAUAGCUGGGAUUACAGAUAUUGAAAUGGAUUCCAGGCGUGUGCCUCGAGACAAGCUGGCCUGCAUCACCAAGUGCAGCAAGCACAUCUUCGAUGCCAUCAAGAUCACCUAGAACGAGCUGGCGUCAGCAGAUGACUUCCUCCCCACCCUCAUCUACAUUGUUUUGAAGGGCAACCCCCAUGCCUUCAGUCUAAUAUCCAGUAUAUCACGUGCUUCUGCAAUCCAAGCCGACUGAUGACUGGAGAGGAUGGCUACUAUUUCACCAAUCUGAGACGGGGGCAGUCUCACUACAUGGCCCAGAGGCUGGGCACUCACUGCAGCUGGCUAAUGAUGACCAUGUGGACAUGCUUUCGGGCCUUCAGGAUCUUCUCCAGCCAGUGGAUGUCGAUUCUCAGCAGGCAUGGCCGUGGGUGCACAGAACAGAGAAAGGAUGGCCUGGACCACACACAUCACUGUGUGCAGAUGCUUUCCUAGACACUGCAGCCAAGGACACAGAGGCUCAGAGAGAAUAACCUCCAUCUCCUGGGUCCCAGCGAUUCUCCUGCCUCAGCCUCUUCCUAUUUCACAAGUAGGGAAACUGAAGCCCAGCAAGCCCUACAUGAAGAGGCCUCUUUGGUGAGUGGCAGCUCAACCUCUGCUAAAUGCCUCCAGUGAUGGGGAGUUCACUACCUUCCAAAGUUUUUAAAAGAUGUUAACCACUGCUAUUCAAGAACAAUUCUAGAAUUUUUUUUUUUUUGAAAGACAAGGUCUCAUUCUGUCUCGCAGGCCAGAGUGCAGUGGUGUGAUCAUAGCUCACUGCAGCUUUGACUUCCUGGGCUCAAGCAAUCCUCCCUCCUCAGCCUCCUGAGUACCUGAGACUACAGAUGUGCACCACCACACUGGCUCAUUGUUUUCAUUUUUUGUAGAGACAGGAUCUCACUAUGUUGCCCAGGCUGGUCUCCUGGCUUCAAGCAAUCCUCCUGCCUUGGCCUCCCAAAGUGCUGGGAUUACAGGCGUGAGCCACUGCAUCUGGCCUUUUUUUUUUGGAGAUAGAGUCUCGCUCUGUCGCCCAGGGUGGAGUGCAGUGGCGUGAUCUCGGCUCAUUGCAACCUCCGCCUUCCGGGUUCACACCAUUCUCCUGCCUCAGCCUCCCGAGUAGCUGGGAUUACAGGCAUCUGCCAACCAUGCCUGGCUAAUUUUUGUAUUUUUUGGUGGAGACAGGGUCUCACCAUGUUGGCUAGGCUGGUUUCGAACUCCCGACCUCAGGUGAUCUACCCGCCUCAGCCUCCCAAAGUCCUGGGAUUACAGGCUGAGCCACCGCGACCGGCCCUGCUGUUGCUUCUGAGGUUUGAAAACCGCUGCCUCAAUGCUCCUGAUUCAGCUCUUCUUACCCAAAGGUUCCCCCACCUCAUCUACUCUGUUCCUGCACAGUCGCCCUUUUCUCUGAUGCCCCGGGCAGGUUUCUCUCUGCCAGCUCCACGCUUCUGGAGUCCCCCAUCCGUCUUGGGGCCCAGCUGCCCACUGUCUGGGUUCAGACCUUCUCAACACUCCCUGGCUUCUCUGCCCUAGUUUUGCCUUCUCCAAUCCACUCUUGGUGGGUGGAAGUACGGUUACCAUGGUAACUUGAAGACAACGCAAAUCUGAUUGUAUCAUUACAAUGACUGGGAAAACCUCCAGUGCCACAAAAUAAAGCUCAAGUCACUA
This is an RNA transcript of Homo sapiens (human), 2271 nucleotides long. It is a transcript of the gene named RABGEF1 pseudogene 1, with no coding region annotated. NCBI's taxonomy places the organism in Eukaryota, Metazoa, Chordata, Mammalia, Primates, Hominidae. The record is from RefSeq and is marked validated. The transcript is spliced from 11 exons.